RNAcentral lists this ribosomal RNA (835 nucleotides) under uncultured bacterium. RNAcentral's name for it is "bacterial SSU rRNA". It matches the Rfam family "Bacterial small subunit ribosomal RNA", at positions 64 to 862 of the family's 1533-position model. The record is from RNAcentral.
GAACGAGUUCUCGUUGAUGAUCGGUGCUUGCACCGAGAUUCAACAUGGAACGAGUGGCGGACGGGUGAGUAACACGUGGGUAACCUGCCCUUAAGUGGGGGAUAACAUUUGGAAACAGAUGCUAAUACCGCAUAGAUCCAAGAACCGCAUGGUUCUUGGCUGAAAGAUGGCGUAAGCUAUCGCUUUUGGAUGGACCCGCGGCGUAUUAGCUAGUUGGUGAGGUAAUGGCUCACCAAGGCGAUGAUACGUAGCCGAACUGAGAGGUUGAUCGGCCACGUUGGGACUGAGACACGGCCCAAACUCCUACGGGAGGCAGCAGUAGGGAAUCUUCCACAAUGGACGCAAGUCUGAUGGAGCAACGCCGCGUGAGUGAAGAAGGCUUUCGGGUCGUAAAACUCUGUUGUUGGAGAAGAAUGGUCGGCAGAGUAACUGUUGUCGGCGUGACGGUAUCCAACCAGAAAGCCACGGCUAACUACGUGCCAGCAGCCGCGGUAAUACGUAGGUGGCAAGCGUUAUCCGGAUUUAUUGGGCGUAAAGCGAGCGCAGGCGGUUUUUUAAGUCUGAUGUGAAAGCCCUCGGCUUAACCGAGGAAGCGCAUCGGAAACUGGGAAACUUGAGUGCAGAAGAGGACAGUGGAACUCCAUGUGUAGCGGUGAAAUGCGUAGAUAUAUGGAAGAACACCAGUGGCGAAGGCGGCUGUCUGGUCUGUAACUGACGCUGAGGCUCGAAAGCAUGGGUAGCGAACAGGAUUAGAUACCCUGGUAGUCCAUGCCGUAAACGAUGAAUGCUAGGUGUUGGAGGGUUUCCGCCCUUCAGUGCCGCAGCUAACGCAUUA